GGAACUCUGGCGAGACUGCCCCGGUCAACGGGGAGGAAGGUGGGGAUGACGUCAAGUCCUCAUGGCCCUUAUAUCCAGGGCUACACACGUGCUACAAUGGUAGGUACAAAGGGCAGCGACUUUGCAAAAAGAAGCGAAUCCCAAAAGCCUAUCCCAGUCCGGAUUGGGGUCUGCAACUCGACCCCAUGAAGUUGGAAUCGCUAGUAAUCGCGGAUCAGCAUGCCGCGGUGAAUAUGUUCCCGGGCCUUGUACACACCGCCCGUCACACCAUGGAAGUUGAUUAUACCCG
RNAcentral lists this ribosomal RNA (289 nucleotides) under Desulfobacter latus. RNAcentral describes it as "Bacterial small subunit ribosomal RNA". It matches the Rfam family "Bacterial small subunit ribosomal RNA", at positions 1134 to 1423 of the family's 1533-position model. Lineage: Bacteria; Pseudomonadati; Thermodesulfobacteriota; Desulfobacteria; Desulfobacterales; Desulfobacteraceae. The record is from Rfam by way of RNAcentral.